RNAcentral lists this ribosomal RNA (406 nucleotides) under uncultured bacterium. RNAcentral describes it as "partial 16S ribosomal RNA". It matches the Rfam family "Bacterial small subunit ribosomal RNA", at positions 30 to 526 of the family's 1533-position model. The record is from RNAcentral.
AUUGAACGCUGGCGGCAUGCCUAACACAUGCAAGUCGAACGAGUGGCGGACGGGUGAGUAAUGUCUGGGAACCUGCCCGAUGGCGGGGGAUAACUACUGGAAACGGUAGCUAAUACCGCAUACCAUCGGAUGUGCCCAUAUGGGAUUAGCUAGUAGGUGGGGUAAAGGCUCACCAAGGCGACGAUCCCUAGCUGGUCUGAGAGGAUGACCAGCCACACUGGGACGGAGACACGGUCCAGACUCCUACGGGAGGCAGCAGUGGGGAAUAUUGCACAAUGGGCGAAAGCCUGAUACAGCCAUGCCGCGUGUAUGAAGAAGGCCUUCGGGUUGUAAAGUACUUUCAGCGGGGAGGCGGUACCCGCAGAAGAAGCACCGGCUAACUCCGUGCCAGCAGCCGCGGUAAUUC